Long non-coding RNA from Micropterus dolomieu (smallmouth bass), 1446 nucleotides. RefSeq lists it as uncharacterized. The record is from RefSeq and is a predicted model, not a curated record. The transcript is spliced from 3 exons. NCBI's taxonomy places the organism in Eukaryota, Metazoa, Chordata, Actinopteri, Centrarchiformes, Centrarchidae.
GCAGAGGUAGAGGAAGAGGAAGAGGAGGAGGAGGACAAGGUCAAGAUCAUGGUCGAAGAGGCCAUGCACGGACCCCUAUUUCUGAUAAUAUAAGAGCAACUUUGGUGGACCAUGUCAUCAACCAUGGCCUGACUAUGAGGGAAGCUGGGCAGAGAGUCCACCCACAUCUAAGCCGCUUCACAGUGGCAUCUGUAAUAAGAACAUUCCGACUAGAAAACAGAAUGACUAGAAGACCUUCUGGGGGAGGACGCCAACGCCUGUUCACACAACAGCAGGAACAGCAGACAAUGCCAUCCGUCUCCACCAGCUACGACAGAAAAUACUUGCAGACAGGCAAGUGUUCAACAACAUAAACCAUGUGAGCAUCACCACCAUCCAACGCAUCUUGGGAAAACACAACAUCACCACGAAGCAGCUCUACAGGGUCCCAUUCGAGAGGAACAGUGUCAGGGUCAAAGGACUUCGAGCUGAAUAUGUACGGAGAAUCUUGGUCAUGGAUGGAGCUGCACAGCCUCAUGAAUUCAUUUUCAUUGAUGAAGCUGGAUUUGACCUGAGCAAAACAAGACGACCGGGUCGUAAUGUAAUUGGCCAAAGGGCAAUUGUGCACGUCCCGGGGCAGCGCGGGGGAAAUAUCACAUUGUGUGCUGCCAUAAACCUUCGCGGGCUUCUGCAUCAUCAUGCAAAACUAGGUCCAUACAAUAGCCAACAUAUACUCACAUUUCUAGAUGCUCUCCAUAAUAUAGUUGUACAGAACAGACCAGAUCAGCCCAGGUUUGUGGUGGUAUGGGAUAAUGUCAGUUUCCAUCGGGCUGCUCUGGUCCAGGCCUGGUUCACCAACCACAAUCAAUUUGAAGUGGUAUACUUGCCCCCCUUACUCACCAUUUUUAAACCCUAUAGAGGAAUUAUUUUUGGCUUGGAGAUGGCGUGUAUAUGACCGCCAACCACAUGCCCGCAUGCCUCUUCUGCAGGCAAUGGAACAGGCCUGCAGCGACAUUCAGGUGACAGCAACCCAUGGAUGGUUUCGACAUGCAAGGGGAUAUUUUCCCCGGUGCCUAGCGGGAGAAGACAUUGCUUGCGAUGUCGAUGAGGUCCUGUAGCCAGACCCCAACAGACAGCGGGAUCCAUGAGCCCACGUAUGCACAAUUGCCAUUCUGUGCUUACAGUAUAGUGUUUUUUGUAUUACAGUUUUUUUGGAUUGCUUACACACUAAAAUUAAAAGUAGUACACUAUUAGCAAAACCUUACACUCAAGAAGCAAAACAUCAGCCCAUAUUUGCACAACUAUAAGCACAUUGUCAACCUCACACUUGUUGCAAAACUCUACACACAGUGAUUUGCAAAACACUAAACACACUUAACAUACAUUACACACACAAAAAUCUAUCAUGAAGUCACUUCCUUGCAAUACCAAAGCACUGACUGUCAAAUUACCGCACCGUCCAACCAA